RNAcentral lists this unclassified non-coding RNA (273 nucleotides) under Hevea brasiliensis (rubber tree). Lineage: Eukaryota; Viridiplantae; Streptophyta; Magnoliopsida; Malpighiales; Euphorbiaceae. The record is from RNAcentral.
UGAUGCUCCAUCACAAAUUGCACAGGCACUAAUUCCUCUGCUCCAAAAUUCAUCUUCACGGGGUAAUCCCAACCUUCUUGCAUUGGCUCCAGUAGCCACAAUAAUGCUAUGACACUUUACCUUACGUUCACUACUGUGGACAGUAAAGGGAGCAUUCUUUACAUCAAUAAAUUCCACAUCUUCCUGAUACAAUUCAGCUCCCCAUCUCUCAGCUUGUCGCCUCAUCCUAUCCAUUAAGUCAGGUCCAGUUAUCCCCUCAGGAAAUCCAGGAAA